ACUGCGUCAUUGCAUCACUGCUGCGUAACAUUUUGCACAGCUAGGCAACUAUACUGAUGCAUAUACCUUUUGCAGAUAGUUGCAUGCGGUUGGACACAUGGAGGAGAGAAUCAUUUUCGCAGUAUCCUCAAAACCGUGUCUUUUUGACACAACUGCUGGCAGCGAUAGGGACAUAAACACAAAAAAAUGCUGCUUGGAGACAAGUGUCCACGAUAGUAGGAUUGCCAGGUCAGCUUGUGCUAGAUGUGGCUAGUUAGCGUUAGCUAGCUAGCUAACCUAGCCAAUGAGGUGUGUGUGUGAAAUAAAUAGUCAAAUAAAUUAUGCUAGUUACUACCCCUGAUAACUUUACCAAAUAAUCAUGUUUGAAAGAGUGUGAGUGUAUGCUAGAUUAAUAUAAAUUGUAGAUACUACUGUACCCCUGAUAAUUUGGUCAGAUAACCGUGUGUGUGUGUGUCUGUGUACAGUAGGUGACAUGUCCAUGAUAGCUAUCUAAUAACUAUAGUUAUGCUAGGUAAUGGUUUAGCUUAUCAUGUUCAUGUCUAUGUAGAAGAAGACUGUAAGAGGAAGUGGAUAGGACUCAGGGACAGGUAUCAGAGAGAGAGAGAAGGGCAGAGAAAGAGAAGAAGAGGUCUGCGUCAGCAGCCACAUUCUUUCUUUUCUGGAUCCAUUUAUUGUGCCUAGGGCAAUGAGUGGCAAUUUUACAGCCAGACCCUCUACUACGUCAUCCACAAGUGUUGUCCCCACCGGUGCAUCAAGACCCUCUACAACGUCUACAUCAUCCACGAGUAUGACCACCAUGGAAGAUUAUGAAAUGGAGGAAGCACCUCUGGAUCUAGGACCACUUGAGAUUAUUAUGAACCUCACGGAAGUGACCGCUGAGGACCACGUUGAACAGCAUGUGGCCCGUGGAGAGAAACGAAGAGGAAUGUCACACCAGGUGUCGAUCGGCGGUACCAGCCCCCAGAUCCACUCAACUCAUUUCAGCAGAGGCUCCUCCAAGCCGUCGAGAGGGAUGCAGCCCAACCUGAUGCUCACAGGAAGGAGGAUGACGAGACCCUAUUUGCCAUGAGCCUGGUUCCAACGCUGAAGAGGCUGCCUCAGCAAAGAAAAGCAGCAGUCAAGGUUAAAAUGUAUCAGCUGCUUUUCGAUGACAAGUUCAAGGAAAUGGAGUCAAUUUAGCCGACCAGCUCACAGGAAGGACAGGAAGAGGAGUUGUCUGGUUGUUGUUUUGACCUCCCUCAUUGUACCUUUCUUUUCACACACGUCAGUUCCGUUUAAAUUCAGUCAAUUCAUAAAGUAAUUUGUUUAUAAUGUCUUAGGAUAGCAUUCAUUAUUAGUGUUACAUAGAUUUCUGAAUUGACAGAAUUGAAACUCACACACUGGAGAAUUCACAGAUGCUCUUGUUGGUCUCUUACGAGACUAAAGGUGAAUAUAUUUAUUUCAUUUAAAACCACUUGAAAACCAGUGUGUUGAAACUGUUUGUGAAGUUAUGUUCCAUCGAUUGGUCCAUGACGUCCAGGGGCCAUUUGUUUGUUUAGCUAUGUUAUGGUUACACCUUUUUUUUUUUUUUUACAGAGACACACACCUCUUCUCCACUUCUCUCUGUCCCUCAGAUCUCCAGUGCCCUGCCCUCUCUUUAUGGCCAUGUCUGAAGUUCCCCUACUACGUCUAGUCUUUAUGAGUUGUCCCUGUAUCUGUCUGCAGUUGUGCCAAAAAUACAUGCUCUUGUUGUUCUCUUACAGAUUACAGGCUACACAUUCAUUUUAUUUAUUUUUUACACGCACACACCUCUUUUAAUAGAUCUAUUUAAAAAAAAAAUUUUUUACAACACACAUACCUGUCAUGUUCUUUCCUGUACUUGAAUACUAAUUAAAUAAUGUUUUCAUAGUCA
Molecule: long non-coding RNA, 1891 nt
Organism: Oncorhynchus kisutch (coho salmon)
Lineage: Eukaryota; Metazoa; Chordata; Actinopteri; Salmoniformes; Salmonidae
Exons: 2
Source: RefSeq, a predicted model, not a curated record